This is a long non-coding RNA of Hippocampus zosterae (dwarf seahorse), 322 nucleotides long. RefSeq lists it as uncharacterized. The record is from RefSeq and is a predicted model, not a curated record. NCBI's taxonomy places the organism in Eukaryota, Metazoa, Chordata, Actinopteri, Syngnathiformes, Syngnathidae. The transcript is spliced from 3 exons.
GUGCAAUUUUCUUAAUUUUUUUCCUUCACACUACCUCAUUGCAAACUGCGCUCCCCCGACAUCUUGAAAAAAGCUGAGAGUCCGGCCUCAAGUUGCUGUUUUGCUCCUGGACAAAACUGAAGGAAGGGAAGGACAUCGUAAAUGACUUCAAUUCGUCUCGCUGACGUCACUUUUGUGUGUGUGUGUGAAACGGCAUCUUGACUUCAUCCAGAGCUGACUGAGGAAUAAGACGACAGCGAAUGAGGCAGUCUGCUGGGUUUGAGCAUGCAGCAAAACAAGAUGGCUGACGUGACCAUUUUUUAACACAUUUUCUCUUUUGCAG